CACUGAAAAAUGUAGCUUUUCAGGUUGUGCUUUUAGAAUCUCGGGAUAGAAUUGGUGGUCGAGUUCACACUAACUACUCAUUUGGUUUUCCUGUUGACAUGGGAGCAGCCUGGUUGCAUGGUGUCUGCAACGAGAAUCCAUUGGCAUCUUGGAUUGGAAGACUUGGUCUACCAAUUUAUCGAACUUCUGGUGACAAUUCUGUC
Molecule: long non-coding RNA, 203 nt
Organism: Zingiber officinale
Lineage: Eukaryota; Viridiplantae; Streptophyta; Magnoliopsida; Zingiberales; Zingiberaceae
Exons: 3
Source: RefSeq, a predicted model, not a curated record